ACCACAAAUUAUAUAAAUCGACAAAAUAGUUUUUUACAUAGUAUUUGUGCUCAUUAGAGUACUUGGGUCACACUGUGUUAAGUUAGUUAAUGUGUGAGACGCAGAAAUUAGAUGACCAUCAGUCAGCGAGUCCUUGCCUCUUCCCUCAAAUAACCAUUUACUGUAAGUGAAAACGACACAAUCAGACUAAAUGUUGGACUUCAUAAACGCUUAGGAGUUUAUCGUCCAUAUGACAGCUUUAAUUAAAGUCAUAUAGGAGAAGAUUUGACUCUACAACAGCUCAGAAGUCAAAACAAAUCCGCUGAUCUGAUGUGGAGCUCAUCAUUACUGCUAUUUGAACGUGUUUGUCGAUCUUUUAUGAAUGACAAAGAGGAGGAAUCAGCAGUGAAAUGCAGGAAUAUAGAGUUUAAAAUGUUAAUGAACAAAGGAUAAAGUGUUUCACAAAUCUAGAGAAAGCCAUACAUCGAAUCUUUGUAGGACUUUACUGCCAUCUUGUGUCAUAACAGAAAAUUUUUGUGAGCAGGAAACUUUUCUUUUCUGUUGUGAGGAUGUUGUUUUAGUACAGAGUUUCCCAAACUGGCCUUCGUGAAGGAACUUCAGAGGGUUUUCUCUGCGUCUGAGAUGAUCCACGUGAGUUUUCUGCUGCUGGAACGGUGGAACAUUGCCCCUGAGUAGUUAAACGGUCUGCUGCUCAGGACUGAACUGUGAUUGCCAUUAAGGGUCAUUGUGAUUCUCAGGAAAGGCCCCUGAUCUGCUGUUGUCAGGCCAAGAGGAGUGUUUCCUCGCUGUGAUCCAGGGAGCUGUUGAGCUUCACUUGAGCUCAAUGCUUCAAAACAUAAAUGUUAGAGCUGCUUCCUUAAUGUGCUGUGCAGUGGAAGUCUCUCGCUCACGGCCUCUGUGACCUGCAGCUCCUGAACCUCAGCUGCCACUGAGAGCUUUAACCCACGUUCUUACAGACCGGAAGCGCUACAGGAACACACGGCAUGUUUUUACUGAAUGCAGUGGGAAUAUUUCAACUACUGUGCUGAUAAUGUUACGCAAUCCGCCUGAAACACAGCACAGAGUGUGAGUACCACGUUCAGAUAUUGCGUAAUCUGUUAAAGUCAACAAAAAAUGGCAUUCGCAAUCCAUUUUACUUUGGUAAUGUGGAGCAUUUCUGUUAAACAGGAUGUGCAACAAGAAAAAAAAUUUGGUCAGGACUUGAUGUUUGUCAUCAGGGAUUGAUUGGAUGGUAAAAUAGGGGUGAGGCUGAAAAUAAAAGGGCUUAAUGAUGUCAUCAGGAAAGGAAGAUCGCUUCAGAGCUAAAAUAUUUGGGCCUAAAUUUAAGAUUCAUGUAUUUGAAUUGCAGAUAAAAUCCAUCUGUUUGGAUCACAUAGUUUUAACGUAACUAAUAAACUUAAUGUGAUGCAUAUUUGUCAGACAUACUGUAAAUGAAACAGCUUCAUUUCUGUAAUAGUCCUAAUAAACUGAAUGUAUUUUAAAUGCACAGUAACCAGGUUUAUAUAUUUAUCAUCAAUAAAUCCAAUUUGUCAAUCUCAUUCAUUUUAACUAAGUGAAUAUUGCUUGUUUUACAGCAAGCCAUUUUUUUUAACAAUGUUCUUACUUUUUAACUGAAUAAAAGUAAUUGUUUUCACAAUAAACAGAUUUAUACUGAA
Onychostoma macrolepis is the source of this 1655-nucleotide long non-coding RNA. RefSeq lists it as uncharacterized. The transcript has 4 exons. Lineage: Eukaryota; Metazoa; Chordata; Actinopteri; Cypriniformes; Cyprinidae. The record is from RefSeq and is a predicted model, not a curated record.